This 3445-nucleotide unclassified non-coding RNA is filed under the name Penaeus monodon (black tiger shrimp). Its description in RNAcentral is "spartin-like, transcript variant X3". Lineage: Eukaryota; Metazoa; Arthropoda; Malacostraca; Decapoda; Penaeidae. The record is from RNAcentral.
CGGCUGCAGAUAACCUCAAACGCCGAGGAAAACGCCACAAAGACAGAAAUAACAUAAAUGAAAGAAGGUUUCUCUCUCUCUCUCUCUUCUCUCUCUCUCUCUCUCUCUCUCUCUUAAUAUUCCAAGGCGCUCGUGACGUGAGGCUGAAUAUCCCGACCCUGUGACUGUGUUAUAUUCAUCACUCGCCUGGAUUCCCUCCCCCCGCCUUCUUCAGCAGGCACACCGGCCGUGGAGGAGGAGAUGAGUUCCGAAACCCCAGAGAAGACUCCACCCACCCGCCCACCCCCUCCAACGACGCUCAUGAUGAACACAGAGGCAGCCUCGCAGGAGGAAGAGUUUGUGAAAACGUAUCGAGAGGCUUACAAGUACAUCGACCAUGGGAUCACUCUGGCCACGCAGAAUAUGCACACUCAGGCAGGAUCGGUAUUACAGAAAGGCCUGGCACUCAUAGACAAAGCUCUCACCAUCAAGAUUGAGAACUUUGAUUGCAGCGGAGAGAAAAUCCAACAUUAUGCCGAGAUGCAGAACAAGAUGCGGUGUACCAGAAAAGAAGUUUUAAACCACUUCACGGAUAGUCAGGCAGCCAUGAACCCAAGCGCAGGUGCUGCAGCUCCUGGUCUGGAAGAUGCUCCCCCUUCGUACGAGGACUACCUCAGGUCCCUUGACUCUGGCACUGCCACCUCCAGCAGUGAGGGUGGAAAUGCCGGCACAGGUGCAGUCUCCUACCCGCGUCUCAGCGCACUCAACCCACAGGUUCAAGAAGCUGCCUUUACAGAGAUCGCAUCAGAGUCACCCAUCGUGACCCCUGUCAUGUCACCCCAGAAUGGAGAAAUGAUCUUCCAGAUUGAGAAUGGGGUACAGAUCUUUUUCAUUUAUCCUGAUGGCCGUGUCACCAGUCCGUCCUACCCUUCAUUCCUGGCUGUGUUUACUUUCCCUGAGCCUAUCGGGCAUAAUACCGGUCCCAAUGGUGCACGAGGGUUCCUGCAGGUUGGAGAGUGGAGUUACCCCCUGAUUCCAGCACGCAGCCCUGUCCUUCACUCCUUCUAUGGGGCCUACAUGUUUCCUGAUGUCACAAAUAAUGUUCCAGGCUCAAGCGUUGGGAUCAUUAUCCCUGACACGGUGGAGAAGGAAACGCUGGAAUUCUUUGAGCAGAUCCUGAUGCAGCUAACCUCAUACCAGGAACAGAAGACUCCUGAGGGAAUAGAUGCAGAGAAGGAAACCGAACUUAUCCACCAGUCCACCUCAGAAAGGAUUGCCUCAGGUUUGGUUGCAGGAGCUGAAGCAAUCUCGAAGGGUGUGGUGUGGGGUGCAGCUAAACUCAGUGAGCUCAUAACCAUUGGCUCAGAAAAUUUGAAGGAAUAUGUCCAGCCUGAAGAAAGUAAGAAGGAGAUUGACCCCAAGUGGCAGACAACAGCAAAGGUGGCACGGGAUGUUUCUGGCAAGGCGGUGAAAGUCAGCGGAUUUCUUUUGAGCCAAGUAGGCAAGGCAACCAUGGCGCUUGGCAGGCGAGUGGCACCACAUAUCCAGAGGCAUGGAACGCGAGCCAUCUCUCACCUGACAGGGCAGAAGGAGAAGGAAGCCAAUUCAAAUGUGGAGGGUGUGUUGGAGGUAGCUGCAGGGGCCGUGAAGGGUGCCUCCACCGUCUACAUGAGUUUAGAGAAUGCUGCUGCCACUCUUGCUACCAGUAUCACUCAGAACACUGUCAAAGUGGUCACUCACAAAUAUGGUGAGGAAGCAGGCAACCUCACAGACAACACACUUUAUGCUGUAGGGCAGACUGCUUUGGUUGGGCAUAACAUCGCUUCACUGGGAGUUAAGGGCAUUGCCAAGCGAACAGCCAAAGAUACAGGGAAGGCUCUCGUUCACCAGCACGAGGAGAAGAAGCAGUCUAAAAUAGCUGGAGGAGUGGAAGAGGCAGAAGAGGCCAUGGAAGUCACAGAGGAAGAUGGAAACAAUCCUCCUACAAAGCCAAUUCGAGAAAAGAAGAAGAAACCUCUUUAAGAAGUUUUCCUUUUUCUCCUUGUUUUUUUUUUUCUUUUCUUUUCUUUCUCGAAUUCUUUUCAUCUCAAUUAUUAUUUCCUUUCACUGUUUUAAAAGAAAGCAAUGGAUAGUUCAGUUUCUUGUAAAGGACCUUACAUAUACAGCAUGAAGAAAACCACAAGCAAGUUAUUGUGAAGAAAAGAUCAUAUGAUCAGAUAAUGACGUUCCUGCUUCUGACUCCACCCUGGAUAAAGAAGUGAAUACCAAGUUUCAUCCCUUCUUUAACUGUAAAUUGUAUGUUUUAUCACAUUGCCCUGAAAAUGCUUUUGUAAUUUAGUGAUUUAUUGCAAUGUUAGAGGAUGAUUUGCAAUGCGUGACCUGAAAGCGUAGGUAUACUUGCUAUGAUUUUUUUUUUUUUUUUUCUUUAAUGAUUCUAACAUUUUCACAUUCAUGUUUUCUUUCUUCUUUCCAUUUCAAACAUUGUGAAACAUUUAAUGUGUACGGUUUAUCCCUAAAUAUUACAUUAAUUUUUGUCACUUUUUCUCACCAAAAUCAUACAAGUAAACCUGAUCCACUCACAGAUUUAUUUUUGUAUUUUAUUUUGUUUUUGUUUGUAUAUGGUUUUCUUAUGUCUGAUAAGUGUGUUUGUAUCUGUUUUUAUUGUGUUUGAUGAGUGAACUAAAUUAACAUGUUAUUUUCUUCCAUGUAACCAAUGUGAAUGUCUUAAAUUAUUACUUAUUUUCUUUAAAAAAAAAAUGUCCUGUUAGCAGUGUUUGAAAUACUGUUCUUGUUUAUAAUUAAUAUUAUUAGCAGUAUCAGUAACAUAAUGUCAAAAAUAUUUUGAUCAUUGUAAUAAUACUUAAAUCUUUUAUAUGAUUUUUAUUACUUCGUACGAUGGUUACAUAAUUUCCUCAGUAAUUUUUGUAACAUUAGGGGAAAUCCCUCUUACAAAGAAUGUUAAGUUAACCAAUCAUUGUAACAUAAACAUUGAAUAAUACUCAUGUAUUUUUCUAAUGUCUAAAAUUUUGUUGCACUAUUUUAUAAAUGUCAUGGAGCUUUGGAACUUUUUCUCUUUUUUCAUUGAAGCAUGAAAGCAUUUUUUUUUUUUUUUUUUUUUUCUAUCAAGUACAGCAUCCAGCAUUAUACACAAGAUAAAAGCAGCACCAAGCCAAAAUUAUAUGAUCUUUCCCUUUUUUUCUUUCUCCUUUUCAUGUUAUUUCGAAGUUAAAAGAAAAAAAAAAAAGGACUGUAUUUUCAGGAAACUUUUUACAGGAAGCGUGAACAGAAAACCACGUUUUGUUAUGCCAUGUCCAUUGUCUCUUACAGAUUUCACACAGCUUCAAACUCCAAAAAGCAAAAUAGGAGAAUAGAUGAUAUGCAACAAAUCAGCAAAGCAACGGAAAUUUGUAUGCCUUAUAUGUGCAACCAAACCUAUGAUAGCAAGCUUUAAUAAAGGAUGAGAAAA